Molecule: ribosomal RNA, 277 nt
Filed under: uncultured eukaryote
Lineage: Eukaryota
Description: partial 18S ribosomal RNA
Rfam family: Eukaryotic small subunit ribosomal RNA
Source: RNAcentral
UAGUCAUAUGCUUGUCUCAAAGAUUAAGCCAUGCAUGUCUAAGUAUAAACUCGUUUGUACAGUGAAACUGCGAAAGGCUCAUUAAAUCAGUUAUAGUUUAUUUGAUAGUACAGGACUACAUGGAUAACCGUGGUAAUUCUAGAGCUAAUACAUGCGCAAAAGCCCGACUUCGGGAAGGGCUGUAUUUAUUAGAUAAAAAGCCAACCCGGGGAACCGGACGUGUGGUGAUUCAUAGUAACUGGUCGAAUCGCAGGCCGAGGGCCGGCGAUGGUUCAUU